RNAcentral lists this ribosomal RNA (464 nucleotides) under uncultured Actinomycetes bacterium. RNAcentral's name for it is "bacterial SSU rRNA". It matches the Rfam family "Bacterial small subunit ribosomal RNA", at positions 88 to 551 of the family's 1533-position model. The record is from RNAcentral. Lineage: Bacteria; Bacillati; Actinomycetota; Actinomycetes.
UGGAUGAGUGGCGAACGGGUGAGUAACACGUGAGUAACCUGCCCCCUUCUUUGGGAUAACGGUCGGAAACGGCUGCUAAUACCGGGUAUUCACUGUCCUUCGCAUGGGGGGUGGUGGAAAGGUUUUUUCUGGUGGGGGAUGGGCUCGCGGCCUAUCAGCUUGUUGGUGGGGUGAUGGCUUACCAAGGCUUUGACGGGUAACCGGCCUGAGAGGGUGACCGGUCACAUUGGGACUGAGAUACGGCCCAGACUCCUACGGGAGGCAGCAGUGGGGAAUAUUGCACAAUGGGCGAAAGCCUGAUGCAGCGACGCCGCGUGAGGGAUGACGGCCUUCGGGUUGUAAACCUCUUUCGCUCAUGGUCAAGCCGCAACAGUGGUUGUGGUGAGGGUAGUGGGUAAAGAAGCACCGGCUAACUACGUGCCAGCAUCCUCGGUAAUACGUAGGGUGCGAGCGUUGUCCGGAAU